This 147-nucleotide unclassified non-coding RNA is filed under the name uncultured Leptodontidium. RNAcentral describes it as "sequence contains ITS2". The record is from RNAcentral. Lineage: Eukaryota; Fungi; Ascomycota.
CAACCCUCAAGCAAUGCUUGGUGUUGGGCCCCGCCGCUCACCCGGCGGGCUCUAAAAUCAGUGGCGGUGCCGUCGGGCUCUGAGCGUAGUAAUUCUUCUCGCUACAGGGUCCCGGUGGAUGCUGGCCAACAACCCCCAAUUUUCUAU